CAAAGACAUUCUGGAAAGUCACCAUCUGUGGUGAUGGGCUGCAGCUCCUUGAAGCUUCCUUGCACCAGUCAAUUCACACCCAGCUUUCUCCCCCACUGUAUGUUCAGAUAUGUCACAUCAAGGAAAAGCUGGCACUUGGCAACACAAAUGGUCGCAACACAUCACCUUCCCUUAAUGACCUUGGCCAGACAUCCAUAGAAGGUUUUGCUUGAAAGAACCGGAUAAAGUUUGAAUAAGUGUUAUCUUGGACAUGAAGAACAGCAAGACUUGGUCUGGAAAGCACCACCUUUUUCCUCUGUAGCUGAAAGAGCUGCUCUGUAAGUGCCAGCAGACACUUCUUUGCACUGCAUAGUCCAGCUACUCCCAUGUGAUGCAGCACCUGCAGGCAAGUUGCCACUUGAAAAAAAAACUAUGGCCAUGAUGAUUUCUAUUGCUGAUGUCUUCAGAUUAAGCUUGGAUAUUUUUUCCAUUAGAAAUCAUAGUGGUGCACUGGCUAUUAGCUCCAAAUCCUUAUUGAAAUAUUACACUAAGGAUCCAGCUAAGGACUUGAGGAUCUAAUCAUUCUUUUUGGCUUUCAUAACCUACCAAUCAACAUGAAGAUAAA
This is a long non-coding RNA of Oxyura jamaicensis (ruddy duck), 604 nucleotides long. RefSeq lists it as uncharacterized. The transcript is spliced from 3 exons. NCBI's taxonomy places the organism in Eukaryota, Metazoa, Chordata, Aves, Anseriformes, Anatidae. The record is from RefSeq and is a predicted model, not a curated record.